RNAcentral lists this ribosomal RNA (484 nucleotides) under uncultured bacterium. Its description in RNAcentral is "partial 16S ribosomal RNA". It matches the Rfam family "Bacterial small subunit ribosomal RNA", at positions 28 to 507 of the family's 1533-position model. The record is from RNAcentral.
AUUGAACGCUGGCGGCAUGCUUUACACAUGCAAGUCGAACGGCAGCGCGGGCUUCGGCCUGGCGGCGAGUGGCGAACGGGUGAGUAAUGCAUCGGAACGUGCCCAGUAGUGGGGGAUAGCCCGGCGAAGGCAGGAUUACUAAUGCAUACGACCUGCGGGUGAAAGCGGGGGGCGGAAGGGCCUCGCGCUCUGGGAGCGGCCGAUGUCGGAGUAGACAGCUGGUGGGGUAAAGGCUUACCAAGGCGACCAUCCGUAGCUGGUCUGAGAGGACGACCAGCCACACUGGGACUGAGACACGGCCCAGACGCCUACGGGAGGCAGCAGUGGGGAAUGGUGGACAAUGGGGGCAACCCUGAUCCAGCCAUGCCGCGUGCGGGAAGAAGGCCUUCGGGUUGUAAACCGCUUUUGUUCGGGAAGAAAUCCUCUGGGCUAAUACCCCGGGGGGAUGACGGUACCGGAAGAAUAAGCACCGGCUAACUACGUG